CCGAGAAGUCUUGGCCGUUCGCGAGUCGUAGGGGCCCCCUCUGACGAACCCCGAAGGCGUAGCGAAAGCGAGAGAGCGUGUUGGGGGACGCCGACCGAGAGAGGUGUCGUGGCGAAGUCGUCAGGCGGUUGUCGGGUUAGGGUUAGCAGCGGUUUCGGCCGUCGCUUAUUCCUAGCUUCACCCGCCUCCUAGCCGUGCCCGAUCCCGCCGGUGCGGUGUCCUGCCGCUGUGUGUUUUUUUCUCCCCCGUCCGUCGUCGUAGUAACCAAUGCCGUGCGUGUUUGCGUGCGGUGGCGGCGGCGGCGCUGCUAUUCGUCGGGUGCGGGAAGGGCGCGCGGUUGUUUCCCUCCUCCCCGAGAGGGGACCGGACUAGGGAAUUGUGGGGCACCAGCUUCUAUCCUCCUUCCGCCCAUCGGUGAGAUCCCGCGGCUUGAACUAGUCCUAUUUUGUCGUCGAGUUUAGGCACUGCACGCGGGCGCAUCACCCCCGGGUCGGUUGUUUAACCUUUCCGAGUACGACUCGGCCGACUCUGGUGUAGCGAACGGCCAGGGACCCGAAAGAUGGCGAUCCACGCCCGGUCGGGAUGAAGCCAGAGGAAACUCUGGUGGAAGUCCGAAGCGCCUCUGACGUGCAAAUCGAUCGUCGGAACCGGGUGUAGGGGCGAAAGACCAAUCGAGCCGUCUA
Molecule: ribosomal RNA, 683 nt
Filed under: Rossia palpebrosa
Lineage: Eukaryota; Metazoa; Mollusca; Cephalopoda; Sepiida; Sepiolidae
Description: eukaryotic LSU rRNA
Rfam family: Eukaryotic large subunit ribosomal RNA (bases 550-683)
Source: RNAcentral